Molecule: long non-coding RNA, 998 nt
Organism: Lontra canadensis (Northern American river otter)
Lineage: Eukaryota; Metazoa; Chordata; Mammalia; Carnivora; Mustelidae
Exons: 3
Source: RefSeq, a predicted model, not a curated record
CUCUUCUGACAAACCCUCUGCUCCUGCUAGGGUCCUCCUCUGUGCUCCCCACUCGGAGCAGCUGACUAGCUGUGUGACUCUGUGAACGGUAUGUAACCUCUCUGAGCCUCAGUGUCUGCAGCUGUGAAAUGGCUAUAGCAGCCAUCGUACUUACAGUAUAGAGAUGUACAAGGUGAAAAGAGGCAUGUCUGAGUAGGUCUUUGCCUAGUGCCUUCUGCAGUGAGCGCUCAGUGCAUGGUAGCCUCUCGACACCUUUAGUGGAGCUUUCUGUCUGAGCCUCUGCCACUCGGAGGAGAUUGGAAACUUCUAGAAGACUCCCUACCCCAUGCACAGCACCGCAUCUUCAACAUAUAGCCCAGUGAUCAAUAAAUGUUUGUGUAGGGACCAACGCUUAAGGAGCUUCUCUGGCUGUUUCCUUUGGGGAAGGCCCAGGUAGUCUAAUGAUGUGAAUGACUUAAUUGGUGUGGUGUUUUACCAGCACCUGUGGUUUGAGGAUCUGCGGUGACCUGCCCAAGGCCACACACAUAGUACUUGGCAGAGUAAGGACUUUUGUCCUCUGUGCACUAAGGCUACCCCUCCCACAGCUACCUGACUGACUAAGCAGGAUCUUGGCGUGGCUGCAGAGGGAGAGAUGGGCCCUCUGGGGAGGGGUAGCUCCGGGCCAGCUAGAGUGGCUGCUGACGGAUGGCUUGAUAAUGAUCAAAAGGUGCACCUCCAAGGUCCUCAAAGUCCAGAAGACCUGUUAUUCAGAGAUUUGAGAUUUGCGCAAACCCAGCUCAGCAGCAAGUCCUCGUGUAGCUUGGUCAGUCAAGCAGAGGGGAGCCAAAACUUUGGAAAGAAUCAUCUCAGAAAACCAGGUGCUGUGUCUCAUACCUAUGUAAAAAAUCAGUCUCCUAGUUGUUGUAAACACUCAUAAUGGGGAAGCAUUUGCUGUGUUUAUAUAUGUUAAAAGUUUUUUAUAGGAGUGCCUGGGUGGCUCAGUGGGUUAAGUCUCUGCC